ACACGUAGGUGACCUGCCCCGGAGAUGGGUAUAGCCCGCAGAGAUGCGGGGUAAUACCCGAUACGCUCGUUGGCAUAGAGGCCAACGAGGAAAGGCGCAAGCCGCUCUGGGAUGGGCCUGCGGCCCAUUAGCUUGUUGGUGAGGUAAUGGCUCACCAAGGCGACGAUGGGUAGCUGGUCUGAGAGGAUGUCCAGCCACACUGGGACUGAGACAUGGUCCAGACUCCUACGGGAGUUAGCAUCGGGGGAUAUUGCGCAAUGGGCGAAAGCCCGACGCAGUGACGCCGCGUGCAGGAUGAAGGCCCUAGGGUCGUAAACUGCUGUCGGGUGGGAUGAACGCCGGGGGUGACGCCUCGGUUUGACAGUACCACCCAAGAGAGCCCCAGGUAACUACGUGCCAGCAGCUGCGGUAAUACGUAGGGGGCAAGCGUUGUCCGGAAUUACUGGGCGUAAAGGGCGUAUAGGCGGGCUUAGUAAGCGGAAUUGUGAAGCCCAGGGCUCAACCCUGGAACGCAGUUCCGAACUACUAAGCUUUGAGUUCGGGAGAGGGCAGUGGAAUUCCCGGUGUAGCGGUGAAAUG
RNAcentral lists this ribosomal RNA (579 nucleotides) under uncultured organism. RNAcentral's name for it is "bacterial SSU rRNA". It matches the Rfam family "Bacterial small subunit ribosomal RNA", at positions 113 to 688 of the family's 1533-position model. The record is from RNAcentral.